RNAcentral lists this long non-coding RNA (1949 nucleotides) under Mus caroli (Ryukyu mouse). RNAcentral's name for it is "predicted gene 11497 (MGP_CAROLIEiJ_G0004792.1)". Lineage: Eukaryota; Metazoa; Chordata; Mammalia; Rodentia; Muridae. The record is from RNAcentral.
AAGCACAAACAAGCUGAAGGUAGAUAAGUUUCACAAGAACUCAAUGAAGAAGUUUCUCCAAGUAGGGGUAGAGUGAGGCUCUCAGCGAUUAGCAGGCAGUGUCCUGACCAGAGCUGAGGGGCUGGAUAAGAGCCAGAGGUUGAAAGAAAGCCCUAAUACUAGGAGCAGAUCGGACACAGUUGGGGCAAGAAGGAGUGCUCCCCGCCCAAGCCAAGCAUGGUAGCACAUACCUGUAGUCAUAGAACUUAGAAGAUAGACACAAGAAGAUAUAGAAUUUGAGGUCCUCAUGAACUACCUAGUAAGUUCUAGGCAAGUCUGGCCAAAAAAAAAAAAGUGUCCCAGCCUCUCAGCUUGCCCUGUGAUGCCCUGACACUGUCUCCACUUGGACAAACUCAACAUUAAGGCAAGGGUAUGUGGUCCACAGGGACCAGCAUCCACAUGGAGAUCAGGGUCAAGCAUGGCCCUGGAGGAGAAGAGCAUCAUGCUCUCCCAGGUCACUCCAGCAUCACAGUGCAAAGAAGCAGACCACUGAGGAAGACAACAGGAUUCAGCCUCAGUCUAGUGGCCACAUUUUACCUUGGAUCUCACAUUCCAGUAUGUCAGAGAGCCAGAGGGACCUGAAGCAACCACACUGCUCUUAUCAACUUUGUCCAGCCUACCAAAAGUGGCCCAUGAAGCUUCCACUAUUUGCCCCUUGGAAUCAGGACAUUGAAUGAACUGAUAUUGGUUGAGCACCUAUGAUAUACCCAGUACCUAUCUACAGCACACCCAAUGUAGCUUGACAGUUAAAUAUACUUGCUUGGAGAUUAAAAGUGAGGUUCAAUGGUAGAUCACUUGCAUGGCAGGUACAAAACCCGGACUCCAUCCUAAACCUAGAAAAUGAAAAAAAAAAUUUUUUUUCAACUCAGUUUGGAAGCAGGUCAAUGGGGAGGGCUCAGCACAGAGACAUUUCCAUCAACUCCCAGGGAAGGUAUGGCAGAUGGAAAAAAAGGGAUCACCAGAGGUUAAGGGGUUUCCCAGGGACUCUCCUAGUGAUGACUUUUGAACCCAACCUAAAGUCAGUAACAGCCCACUGCACACCGUAGGGCACCUUUCCCAUCAGAAGCCGCCAUUGUUUUGAAGAGGCAUAGACAAACACAUCCUAUAGUCUUAUAUUUCUGGUGAUUAUUGCUUUCUUUAUCGUGGACAGAUGUGCCUGGGUAUGGGCCUGGUGGCCUCCUUGGCUGGCAGUUACAGGAAUCAUUCAGAAAGAAGGAAGAUGGCAGAAACCGGAAGUGCAAUAUCGACACAAGGGGACCGGGCUGAAUUCAUCUUGUCCUUUUAUUAAAACUUACAGUGGCAGGGACUUGAGUGGUGGCCUCAGGAACCCCAACACUUUCCAUAAGAGAGCUACCCCCUCAUAUCCUGGCCUCCAGAGCUGAAAGAUGACCCUGUCUCACCUACAAGACCUUGGGACAUUGUCUCUACGCUCAGAAAUCUGGGCUCUGGGAAGUCAAUGCUGAGAUGUUAGAAAUGAACUUUGAUGCAAACUAGACUGGUCUUUGAUUCCUGAAGAGAACCUUUCCUAUGUGACAGUGAGAACUCAAUCUUCCAGGUCUCAGUUUCCACAUCUGUGAACUCCUGACAUCGGGUGCACCAAGGUCAUGUGUUUGAGCGGGAAAGGGAUCCAAAGCUGUGGUCUCCUGCCAGCCAGGGCUAGGGAUAGCUGAGCACACCGAGUUCUUUAGACAGACUCAAGGCUGGCUCCUGUCUGUGGCCUCGGAGCUCCGGCGCCCUCUGGCCAGGGUUUCCUGUCAUCUUCCUUUCCUCCUUCAGAAGAGGAAGCAGCUUCCUCUGGAGACCUUUGUCCUGAGCCCAGCCCUGGAACGCUGACGGCCAUUCACUUCGUGCUGAGUGUGUUGAACCACUUUCUGGGUUUAAGAAAAUAUAUUAUUGUUUACCUAACAGUU